Equus caballus (horse) is the source of this 2142-nucleotide long non-coding RNA. The record is from Ensembl. NCBI's taxonomy places the organism in Eukaryota, Metazoa, Chordata, Mammalia, Perissodactyla, Equidae.
ACUUUAUUCCUUUUUAUGGCUGAAUAGUAUUCCAUUGUAUGGAUAUACCACAUUUUGUUUAUCCACUCAUCAACUGAUGGAUGUUCAGAUUGGUUCCACUUUUUGGCUAUUGUGAGUAAUGCUGCUAUGACCAUUCAUGUAUAAUGUUUGUAGUGUGCGUAAGUUUUCAAUUCUCUUGGCUGAAACUUUGUAGCGACGUCUAUUUUCCAAAGUGUCCACACCAUUUUACAUUCCCACCAGCAUUUUUGUUAUUAUAGCCAUCCUAGUGAAUAUAAAGGCAUAUCUCAUUGACGUUUUGGUUUUCAUUUUCCUAAUGGCUAAUGAUAUUGAGCAUAUUUUCAUGUCCUUUUGGGCAUUUAUAUAUCUUCUCUGGAAGAAUGUCUAUUCAAAUCCUUUGCUCAUCGUACCCAAUGCCUCCACACUGGGAUAUUCUGCCAUAUCCAAAACCCCUUAUGUUAAUAACAGUUCUGAAUUCUGUUCCAAAACUCAAAAGGCAAGAAAGUCUGCAUUUCUUUACUCUCAAAAUCAAGUGAAAUAUGGUUCACACCUCCACAUCCAACGUUAACAAGAAGUCCUCCCAUUCCUCCCCUGGGAUCCUACAAGUAUCCUAGGGAAAUUAUGUAAAAUCCCAAAUGAGCACAUACAUGUUUAUGUGUCACUGCCUUGACACCCAUUGCUGCUUUCAUGGCUGCAUUCAUUCACUCAUUGACUCAGCUCAAGGCAAUCAUUCAUUAAUUCAACAAACAUUUGUCAAGGACUUAAACUACGUGCCAGGCACUAUAACAGACUCUGAGGAGAAUGGGGAAUAAGAUGACGAGCACUGAGAAUCCACCAUCUGCCUAUUGCUGUGGCUUAGCAAGGAGGCAGUCAGCUUCAGGCCCAGGCAGGUAUUUAAUGCCUAGCCUUUCAUCAGUUCCCAUGCCUGCCAAAUGUCCUUCCAUCUCUGGGGUUCUAUGGUCUCCGCCACUCUCAGAACCCACAAACCUUCUCUUUGUCUUCAGAGAACCCAAAUACCAUGAGAGAGUACUCCUUGCCCCUCCUCUACCCCUGAAAGUACCAAAAUCCACACCUCUACCUCUGGGACACUCACUCCCUCAGCGUGUCUGGACCAGAGAAGACAAGUUGGCAACUAGGAUUUCUACGUAUAUGCUUUUGGCUCACACACUUUUUUAAAAAUGGACUUAAAUUAACAUUUUAAAAUUAGAAGUUUUCACUUAAAAUCCAGAUUCCCAUUUGCUUUAAAAAAAUGGAAAGAUCUGAUAACCAGCCCACAAGGUAAUGCCCUUCUAGAAUGAGUGUGCUCACUCUGGUUCUCCAAGUCCUCAUCACUCCCUGUUGCAUUGCCCUGACCCUGUAUCUCGCAUAGAGAAAUGUGUGCUCAUGACCCCAGUCUAUGCUUGAGAGGGCAGAUACUGCUAUGUAUUCACUAAGCCAUUUUCCUUUCCUUCUGGGUACAAAACUAGGCUACAUAUUCCCAGGUUCCGUUGCAGUUAGAUGGGGGCCAUGUGACUGAAUUCUGGAAGAUAGAAUGAGAACAGGAGUGAUGGUCACCCCAGGGAGGUUUAGCCCGUGAAAACCUCCUGUGGAAUCUACUGUUCUCUCUCUCACCCACUUGCUGGAUAUAAAGGACUCCAGGUUUGCAGAGCUGGGCAAAGACUCAAGACAAAACCAGCCUGGGACUGACUGAGCAGAAUAGAGCUCCCCUCUGACUGCAUUGGAUUGUAAGGGUUCUUGUGAAGGUAAAAGACAUGAGACAAGUAAAGUACUUUAGCCCAGAAGCUCUACCAUGACUAAGAACUGUGUGAGCAUGAGAUACUUAUGAAUUCACACAAAAACCAUCAGGAAACUAUGCUCUCGGUCCCUUAAUCUGCUGAACAUUAGAACAGAACAAAACGAGAGGGAUGUCUUCUUUCAUUUCCUCAGGAGAGGAAACUGAGGCCUGAGGAGAAGUGCUUUACCCAAAUUGUCAGCUCAUGACAGGUAAAGAUAUUAUGCCUGAAGAUCUUCAGCAGCUCCACAUGAGGCAUUAGGAACUCUUUACUGAUGCAGACAAUAGACAAACAUCCAUUUUGCAUCUUACCAGAGACAUGAGGUAAGGCGGCACAGACACAACCCAUACUUCAAUAUGGGAAGAGACCCAAG